Molecule: small nuclear RNA, 113 nt
Organism: Podarcis muralis (Common wall lizard)
Lineage: Eukaryota; Metazoa; Chordata; Lepidosauria; Squamata; Lacertidae
Gene: U5
Rfam family: U5 spliceosomal RNA
About the family: U5 RNA is a component of both types of known spliceosome. The precise function of this molecule is unknown, though it is known that the 5' loop is required for splice site selection and p220 binding, and that both the 3' stem-loop and the Sm site are important for Sm protein binding and cap methylation.
Source: Ensembl
AUACUCUGGCUUCACCUCAGUUUGAAUAAAUUGCCUUUUACUAAAGAUUUCUGCGGGGAGGAGCAUUUAUAAGUUUCUAACUGAUUUUUUCCAGGUCCUGCUUCAGUAGGACU